RNAcentral lists this ribosomal RNA (820 nucleotides) under uncultured Geobacter sp. Its description in RNAcentral is "bacterial SSU rRNA". It matches the Rfam family "Bacterial small subunit ribosomal RNA", at positions 40 to 840 of the family's 1533-position model. Lineage: Bacteria; Pseudomonadati; Thermodesulfobacteriota; Desulfuromonadia; Geobacterales; Geobacteraceae. The record is from RNAcentral.
CGUGCGGGUGCUACCAUGCAGUCGAACGUGAUCCGCCCUUCGGGGUGGUGAAAGUGGCGCACGGGUGAGUAACGCGUGGAUAAUCUGCCCGAGGAUUUGGGAUAACAUCUCGAAAGGGGUGCUAAUACCGAAUAAGCCCACGGGGUCUACGGAUCUUGCGGGAAAAGGGGGGGACCUUCGGGCCUCCUGUCCUUGGAUGAGUCUGCGUACCAUUAGCUAGUUGGUGGGGUAAUGGCCUACCAAGGCGACGAUGGUUAGCUGGUCUGAGAGGAUGAUCAGCCACACUGGAACUGAGACACGGUCCAGACUCCUACGGGAGGCAGCAGUGGGGAAUUUUGCGCAAUGGGGGAAACCCUGACGCAGCAACGCCGCGUGGGUGAUGAAGGCCUUCGGGUCGUAAAGCUCUGUCUGGAGGGAAGAAAUGAUUGGGAGCUAAUACCUCUUGAUCUUGACGGUACCUCUGAAGGAAGCACCGGCUAACUCCGUGCCAGCAGCCGCGGUAAUACGGAGGGUGCAAGCGUUGUUCGGAAUUAUUGGGCGUAAAGCGCGUGUAGGCGGUCUUUUAAGUCUGAUGUGAAAGCCCCGGGCUCAACCUGGGAAGUGCAUUGGAAACUGGGAGGCUUGAGUACGGGAGAGGAGAGUGGAAUUCCUAGUGUAGGAGUGAAAUCCGUAGAUAUUAGGAGGAACACCGGUGGCGAAGGCGGCUCUCUGGACCGAUACUGACGCUGAGACGCGAAAGCGUGGGUAGCAAACAGGAUUAGAUACCCUGGUAGUCCACGCCGUAACGAUGAGUACUAGGUGUUUGCGGGUAUUGACCCCU